UGACCGCUUCACAUCUGAAGCUAAAGCCAUACGGACAGCUGGGUCAAGAGCCGA
This 54-nucleotide small RNA is filed under the name uncultured Ruminococcus sp. RNAcentral's name for it is "Streptococcus sRNA SpF59 (ldcC RNA)". It matches the Rfam family "Streptococcus sRNA SpF59 (ldcC RNA)". The record is from RNAcentral. Lineage: Bacteria; Bacillati; Bacillota; Clostridia; Eubacteriales; Oscillospiraceae.